GAUUACAAACCCUCUCUGUAAUCGCGGCUG
This 30-nucleotide non-coding RNA is filed under the name unclassified sequences. Its description in RNAcentral is "S4-Bacteroidia ribosomal protein leader". It matches the Rfam family "S4-Bacteroidia ribosomal protein leader". The record is from RNAcentral.